This is a long non-coding RNA of Orcinus orca (killer whale), 2123 nucleotides long. RefSeq lists it as uncharacterized. Lineage: Eukaryota; Metazoa; Chordata; Mammalia; Artiodactyla; Delphinidae. The transcript has 3 exons. The record is from RefSeq and is a predicted model, not a curated record.
UUAAAGUGAUGAAAUGGAAGAAACUACAACCAAGAAUACUCUAACCAGCAAGGCUCUUAUUCAGAUUUGAUGGAGAAAUCAAAAGGUUUACAGAUAAGCAAAAGCUAAGAGAAUUCAGCACCACCAGACCAGCUUUGCAACAAAUGCUGAAGGAACUUCUCUAAGCAGAAAAGAAAAGGCUACAACUAGAAACAAGAAACUUACGAAUGGAAAAGCUCACCAGUAAAGGCAAACAUACAGUAAAGAUUGCUAUAUCAAAUCCUCAUGGUAACCGCAAAUUGAAAAUCUACGAUACACAUACAAAAAAGAAAAAGGAAUUGAAACACAACACUAAAGUUAGUCAUCAAAUCACAAGAGAAGAGAACAAAAGAGGAAGGGAACAAGAAAAAAUGUUUCGUAACUCUAUGUCUCUUGAUUUUUUGUAUUUUCCAUCUCUAUGUGAUAUGCUGUUUUUUCGUUUCCUCAGCUCUACAUUCUAAUCCAUUGAGUCUUUUGGCUUGGAAUUUGUUUCCAUUACAAGUUUCAGUCAGUUCUUUUUGACAUCUUUCAGGUCCUUUUUAAAGUGACUUGGCCUUUGUUCAUAAAAAGAAUUUUCCUUUAUACAUUGAAUCAUUUAAAACAUAUAAUUGCAUAAUUUGAGAUCAAUAAUUCCAUUACCUGAAAUUUUUGAAUAUCUAACCUGCUCUAAAUUUUAUCUGUUGACAUACUCACAUUGGCUUAUUUCCUUGAUUGUUUUAUAAUUUUGGAUUUUUUAGUUCUGUUUUAAUAAGGAUUUAAUUUGUGUGAAUACUGAAUGGCUUCAGGGUUGAGUGUUUCAUACCUCAAAGUAGUUUGCUUCUGCUGGGAACCCCAGUGAUAUUAUUAGCUCUGGGACAACUUUUGGUUUUGUUGUUGCUGUUAUUGUUACUGUUUUGACUUUGCAGAUUCUUUUUCUUUGGCCAUGCCAUGUGUCUUGUGGGAUCUUGGUUCCCUGACCAGGGAUUGAACCUGCGCCCUCGGCAGUGAAAGCACAGAGUCCUAAUAACCCUAGAGAUUCUUGGAAUGGUAAAAUAAAUGAGUGUAUUCCUAUGAAGCAAGAAGGCUGAUUACUAUGAAAGUAAAUGAAAGACUUCCCUGGUGGCACAGUGGUUAAGAAUCUGCCUCUCCCAAUGCAGGGAACACGGGUUUGAUCCCUGGUCCGGGAAGAUCCCACAUACCAUGGAGCAAUUAAGCCCGUGAGCCACAACUACUGAGCCCGCGUGCUGCAACUACUGAAGCCUGCAGGCCUAGAGCCUGUGCUCUGCAACAAGAGAAGCCACUGCAAUGAGAAGCCCAAGCACCACAAGGAAGAGUAGCCCCCGCUCUCUGCAACUAGAGAAAGCCCGCACACAGCAACGAAGACCCAACACAGCCAAAAAUAAGAAAUAAAUAAAAUAAAUAAAUUUAUAAAAUAAAAAAAAGAAAGUAAUGAAGAGUCCAUAGAAAUAGAUACAGUAGCUGGAAUUUACCACUGUUGGCUUGUAGCACUUAAGGCAAACUAACAAUCAAGUGCAACAGAUUUUCACCUCAGGCCUCAAAUACAGGUAACUACGGCAAAGAGCUUCCCCCAACUUAUACGUUACCUUUGCCAUGAUGUAGAAGGCACAAAGGAGGAGCUGAUCCAAAUGUCUGUCUUUCAUCAGAUCAGGGCAGUGAACUAAAGUGAAUUCAAAACAUGUCCAUAUCUUCCUUCUUAACUCAUUUGAAACAUCCAGUUUUAAACAUAAAUCACGUAAGCGUACACUUGCCAAAUGAUAGACCUAAGAUGAAAGAUAGCACAUUGAUGCAAAAAAUCAAGUAAAUAAUUUCUCAAAUUUAUGUCUUACCAUGAACAUGGGCUUUUAGGCCAACAUUAAUAAACACCUAAGGCUGCUGAUGCAUUAAAUUACAUAAAAUUUUUAUUUUAUAGUACUAGUUCACUGCUAUGGCAAAAGAAAAUAUAUUAAAACAAAAUUUUCUUUGGAAAACUACCUUAAACAUUUUUUUGGUAAAGAUGUUAUAUGCUAUUAUUCUAUGCUGUCAACUAUGUAAAGUGAGAAAUACUAAAAUUAAAUGGUUUGAUUUACCAGCAUCAUGAUCAUUAUGAAUACAUAAUUUUUCAAGUA